GUCUCCUCUGAGGAACGUUAGCAUGGCUGAGGCUGCAGAAACAAAGAGGACCAAAGCUGUAUGAACCCACAUAAUGGAGCGAGUCGAUGAAAACACCAAUACCAACAGGUCAGAAGGAAACUCUUCAAAGCUGUGUGUGUGUUUCAAGCCUGUAGACUCAAAUAUUACCAUCAUAUGUUAUCAUGUGUUUCAGGUUGUAAUUGCUGUAAACUUUAGCGGUUUGGCAAAUGACGGUAAUUUCACCACUCCCUGACUGAUAACAGACAACAGAAAGUAAAUGGAAAUUCAUCUCUGGAAGUUUCACCUUUUUUACGCCCUUUUCUUGUCUGUUGAGGUUUUAUUUGCCACCUGACUUCCUAGAGAUGCAUCCAUGCUGUUCAACUUCCUGCUUAAAGCCAUACAAUCUCUCUGAAGUUGUCUGUGAUCCAUUUUACCAUCUAAAAGCAGAGUUCGGAUUCUUCUUCUUUCUCUGUACUAACUUACUUUUGUGGAACUCAGUAUGUCUUCAGUGUUGCACCAAGUCCUACAGUCCAUAUCAGCCAGUGGUUCACUGCGUGCGUGCGUGUUUGUUUGUUGAAUCCCUCACUGCUGCUGAGGAAUGUAAAAUUUAACCUCAUAACCUCGUGACCUCUCACCUAGAUUUACCCUGAGAACAAGAAGCUUAAUGCGUGUGUGUUCACUUCAUCAAUAGAGCUGAGCUUUAUUAAACUCUAACAAAGAGUGGACAGUUGAGCUGUCACGGGACUUAUUGGAGGUCAGCCGCAAGUGUUACUUCAAAGGGAAAUUCAAAGAUUUUGGUAGCAUAGCACAAUAUGCUGUGGGUUCUUUUUUUGCAAUAAGGGCUGAAUCAUAAUGUUACAUGAUGAGUUUAAGCAAGAACAAAACACAAAAAGUUAUCCAUUUGUCCAAUUAAUGCAAGACUGACUAUGAAUUAGGGUCCACGUUUGGCCAUUUUGAGAGAUGGUCCCCUUUUGGUACAUAGGACAGUAGAUAUGUGUGGGUAUUUUUGCAAUAGAGGGCAGGCCUGGGUGUUUUAUGACAACAUACUCUGAAAUUGUGGCUUGACUAUCAACCUUUCAUGAGCAAUUGUUUGAGGAAAAAGUUGCUAAAGUCUGUCUAAUUCUCCCACAACCACCUGAUUCUGUUUCUCCCUUUGACCCACAAUCCUCUGGGAUGAAACAGACUCUCUCCCACACAACUGAGCUGACUUCUCAGGCUAAUUGGAUCCUGCCAUGGUAGUCUGCUGACAUAUCUGUGACCUUUGACCUUAGUGAAGCACAUGGCAAUGAUAACAGAGAUGUGCCCAACACAUUUGGGAGGGAAAUCAAUGUUUUUGUUCUUGCCUUGUUUGAUCUGAUGAAAUCUUCACAAAUGCAUCACCCAGUUCAUUAAAUUACAAGUCAACAUGUAUCCUGUUUUUGCUUUUGAAUAAUCUGAACCAGCUGCAGCAUCAAUCCCUGGCUCAAAGAGAUUUUUUUAAAUAGACUGUGACCUUUUUUUGUAGUUGAACCUUUUGACAUGGUACCCCAUGGAGGAUGAAUCCCUUUGGAGCUUGCCUCAAGUGGCCAUUUGAGGAACUGCAGUUUGUGUACUUUUGAACUGGCUUCAUUCAAUCAAUCAUUCAAUCAUUCAAUCAUUCAAUCAUUCAAUCAACCAAUCAACCAAUCAAUCAAAACUUUAUUUAUAGAGCACGUCUUAUACACGGACAUGCGACACAUUGUGCUGUACAAACUUUACACUGGACCUAAAGCACAUUGGAUUCUGGGCCUCUCAGAUCGUCCUUCAGACUCUGGGACCUUGACAGGACUUUGGAACCCUGAGUAUUAGUCUUGUUCUUUGUCUUUGUAGCCCACGUGAGACCCUUAUGUCUCAAUGAUUGCACUGGAGGUCCUGGAACAGCAACAUUAUCACAUUUUUCUUUAUGUAUUAAUCUUUCUCUUCUGGUCCACCAAGUGACCUAGGUUUCAUCAGUUACACAUUUUUCUCUGCUUGAGUAGGAACUGAGUAAUCCUGGAACUGGAGAUCCUCCGUCACUUUCAUGUGAUGAUGUGAUGCAUGGUGUGGGUUGUGUAUUACAUGAUCAGACACAUGCUGUGCCUACACCCAGACUGUGUCACCACCUGCAGUUGCAGAGAGUUUCAACUGCCAAAUCAUGUGCAACAUGAGACAAUUCCCCAACUGAGGGUUUUACGUUAAUAAUGCAAGCAGACACAAUCAUCUAAUCAGACAUGCAGACAGAUUAAUGUGCUUCCUUCACACACUCAUAAGUGUUAGGUCUGGAUUUUUAUGCAGCUAUAGGAACAAGGACACACCUAAAAAUGAACCUCACUGUUAUUACUUUACAAACACAUUUAGUCCUAAUUAUGGCAAGAACCAUGUAUGAUAAUGUACACACCGUAUUGGCAAAACUCCCCCUAUAAGUAAAACCACCUGUUCUGGUGUCUAAUAAUCGGUGCCACAAUAUGCAGGCCUGCUCAUCGUACUUUAAGUCUGUAAAAGUGGUCUGGGUGGAAAAUCGUUCAGUUAUAAGGCCCUUCUGGAGCAUUCUGGAAGUUCCAUCUUGGUAUAUAUUUAUGCUUGUGACAAAGACCAAAGAGAUACAGAGUGAAUUAAGUCUCUAGUUGAUCUGUUUUUGGUGUAUUUUUGGCUGAGAUUAUGGAGAAACCCUGAUGUGUUCUCCUGCUCAUGCUGUGGUCUGAAAUAUCUGUUUACAUGCCUGUCGAUCACUAGCAGCCAUAACACUUCCAGCAAAAUCAGGGUUAACAUAGCAAACUGAACCGAACAGUAGUGAAUGAAACCAGACCCCAGAAAGCAGAAAGGAUUAGUUUGAGGGAUCUGAAAUCAUCACAUCUUUCUGUUUUUCUGUUUAAAUGUUUGAAAACAAACCUCUUGAUUUUGAGUUGAUUCUGGACAAAAUGAAAUAUUGAAAGACUUCACUUGAGGAACUAUAAAAAUUCCCUAUUUUAUGACUUUGAACGGGAGAAAUUUCUCUGUUUCUCUUUGAUCAUUAAGGUUAGAAUAUAUGAGUUCAUCCAGGGCUACUGUCAGCAGCUUAUUUCCUUGAAAGCAGCAUUUUUCCAGCAGGACACUGGCCAAACACACAAUGCUGUGAACCAUUGGAGUCACUAACAUGACCACCAUCACAGUUAUCCUCUGAAAUCUGAAGGUAUUCUUUAAUCUUUUUAAAAAUAUGGAUGGUUUAGGAGUCACAUUCGUGGAUCUUUGGUGACAACAAAGGUUAAGAGGAGAGGAUGUGAAAAGUUAGCCCUGGUUUCUGAAGACUGUCUGUCUGGAAUAUGUCCAGAGAACAUUUUGUCUUCCAGAUGCACAACAGAUUGCACAACACUGUAAAGCUGCCUGCAGUUAUGAGAAAAAAUAUUUGAUGAAACCAUCAGCCUUUUUUUUUUGUUUGGCCGAACAUUAGAUUGAGCAGAAAUAAUGAAAUACAUGCCUCUUUUACACAAAAACUCUGGUCAAUUUCAGGGGUAAUAAAGUCCUGAAAUUUUCUGGACCAGCCUUUUGUUUUUGUCUCAAGGGUGAGUAAUAGGGACUGUUUCUAUGUUUAUAUCACUAUGACAAGUACAAGGACAAUUCCAAAAUCCAGAAUAACAAGACAGAGAGCUAAGCUUGACUCAGAUCCAGUCAUGUCUCCGCUAACUCUCUUGCUAUAUAUUUUUCUGGGAUUUACCAACUGUCAUGGGCUCACCCUGACAUUACACAGAUUUCUCCAAGGUGGUUGAGAACAUUUUGGGUUAAGUUUUGUUGUGAAAAUCCACACAGUGGGAAUUAUGCCACUGCCCCAACCCAAGCUGGCAAAAACUUUUCAGACCCCAGCACACUUAUUCCAUCAGAUCACCCUAAAUUUGCAAAAAAUUUAAUUGGUCACAUCGAGAACAAUUUUGGACAAAUUAAGGGUGUCUGAAAAUGUAUUUGAUGUCAAAAUGUCACUCACUUUCCCAACUCAGUUUUUUAAACAUUGACAUACUUAUCACAUCAGCUAAACCUGACUUUGCACAAACUUUCAUUAAGGGGCUGAAAAAACAUUUGGCUAAAGUCAGGUUGUUUGGAACUCCACCCAGUACAAAUAAUGUUGAAUAGAGACACUGUCCCACUCAUUUGCAAGACUUUGUUCAGAUUUUUAUAUAAGGGGCCAGAAGUAAAAUUUUGGAUAAAGUCAGGGUGGCAAGGACAGGGACAAAAACUAAAACCAUUGGUUUUUUUUUUUAGUGGAGGGUCUCUAAACUGGCACAGAGGAUUGGGUUGCAGCCAUUGUAGCCUGUAUUCCAGACUUAGUAAUCUUCUCACAUUGUUUGGAGCUGUUGAUUAUUUACACAACUGAGUGUAUGACAACAAGGCUUAGGUUUAAAAAUACCAGUAUUAGCCUUUAAUGACUGGGACAUCCGCCUUCCCUGACCAUGAAGGACCUUGCUAAUGGCUUUCUUCGGUCAGGAGCAGCUUAGCUGAACAUCUGAAUGAAUGUUGUUGCUAUGAAAAGAGCUCAGAGGAACUUAAGUACAUUGACAUGUUUGUUUACCCGCCUGCUGUCGAGGGAUUCCUGUCUUUAAAGGUCAUGGUGGGGGAAGACUCUUAGCGAGAGUACAGAGACUCUGUGUUCUUACAUCGUCUUAAGCCACGGCUGAUAUAUAGGUCAGGUAAUCUGAGGUGAUGGAAACACCUGCGGCUACCUGAUCGGAAAACCUCCAUCAGUCCAUCACCUCUACAGUCCUUCCUUCUUACAGUUUCCAACAAGACCAGGACCUUAAGCUGCAACAGUCCUGCCAGAGGACUGGAAAAACAAGCAUGUCUCAGGGCUUGUAUCUGUGAUUCAAUCAGCCAUACAGGGGAGGGAAAGUUUCCAAGAACACUCAAAGCAGGAGCAGUCAUGUCCAUCACACACCAGGUUUUCUUCUCCUGAAUGACUUCUGCUGACCAAGGGAAAGCUCAGUCUUUAAAUCCCCUCCUGCAUGUCGUAAUCUGUCCGUCUAGAGUCACACGCCUCUCAUGACAGCAUGACACAGUGACCUCUGACCCUUUAAGAUCCACCAGACGGCACCUGUGGCCUCAAAAAGCAGCUUUACUCCUCAGCCUGCCAACAGGGAUUCCGUAAUAAGUCCUCUGAUUGUCUGAGCUGAUCGGCUCAGGGAACCAAACUCAGCCAAGAUUCCACUGCCGAUCACAGCCUGGCCUCCACAUCCAGAAGCUGAAAGUACCCUGGGCCCUGGUGUCAAAAAUCUGAUUAUUUAAUUUUAAACAGGCCAAAAGUUUUGGUCAACAAAAUUGAAUACAAAGCUAACAUCAGCUUUAGAAGGGAUAUUGACAAACGUUUGUCCUCUUCGCUAGCCUAGGUGAGGGUAUGCCUCACGCAAUGAAUAGAUUUUAUCUGAACAACAUGUAGAUAAACUGAUUGUAAUGAACUGUUCCAUCAUUGGACCUGAGUAAAUGAGUUACAGUGGGGAAUAAUAUUAUACAGAUGACAUUAAAAAAUUGCAGGUCAAGGUCAAAAUGUGUCCACCUGCUUUCUUUUUGCUGCUUUGUGGUCUGUAGAGCCUGCACAGAUGGAUUCUACUUGAUCAGUUCUUAGUUCCUGUCUUGGGUCAAAUUUCUUUACUCUAAGCUGCUGCAGGUUUUUUCAGAUUUCUGAGGGAACAGUCACCGGUCUUCAGAGGACAAAGAGUCCAGGAUGUUAGCCAGCCGUGAUGGCUAACAGAGGAGGUGUUUGUUUUUGAUUUUGGCUCCAUAGAGGAGCUUCAGUGACUGCAACUCUCUUUUCUCCUGUUACACAGCUCUGUCCUGUUUUUAAUACAAGCCAGAAAGAGGAAUGCUUUGAGUUCUCACACAAAAAACCUCCAAACCCUGGAGUUAACUAUUCAUAAAUAGGGGGAGAGGCAGGGGAGGGAGGGACAGAGAUUUGGAUGAUUUGGGAGGUCUGUCAGAAUGACUAAAAGCUCCUGCUUUACAGCUGAAACCUUUCCAGCCCAUCCAAGUGUGAUUCUUGGACUGUGUUUGGUCUGCAGAGAUCUAUGAAAGAGAGAAGAAGAAUUUGAUUUCUACGCUGACUGGUAGUUGUGGUUUCUGGCAGAAAGGAUGCUCAGAUUUUUAUUCAAUCCCUUGGAUGUUAGCCAAUCUCCCGUCUUUGGUGAUGGUUAAAACUCUGUUAAAUGUGAGUGUGUGCUGAUCUGGGCAGGCUAAUGAGGACAGCACAUCAAAGCAAACAGAUUUGAGGUUUGACGGGGAAGAGAGAAAGAUGGACAGAGGUGUUAACAGGAUUCAGGUUUUCGUUUUAAAUAUUUUUAAAUGUUUUUAAUAAUUUAGUUUAAAAUUUUUCUUUUAAAAACCAAUCCCUCAAAAAUGUGCAUCUUGGAUACCAAAAUGUAAAAAGUGCAUUGUAUUUGGUUUAAGACCUGGCAGACCAGUGGACCAUACAUGUUUUUUGCUGGACAUAUGUAUCAUGCCAUGACUUUGCUUCAAAUUUCACAUGUUUGAUGACGGUCCCAGCCUGAACUCUUAUACACAUACCUUCUUGCCAAAGUCAUACUGCCUUUUGAUAAAAGUGUUAAAAAGAAGGUUAAGACUCUAAAUCAUAGCCCCACCUACUGGUGAAAGACAUUGCUGUUGGUGAUCAAUAUUACACCGAUGACUCAGUCCUUUAUUUGUCAGAGCUCCUUAACAGACUAACUUUGAUUUAUAACCAGAAUGCACCAUCUAGCCAUUUUUAAAAUCAACCCUGGCUAACACAAGUGAAUAACAUUCUGAAGAUUUUUGACCAUAUGACAAGACACCUCAAACAGAUAUGCAAACAUCUUUUUCUCUCUUCUUCUCAUUUUAUCUUUAAACGAUUGUUACACAAUAUAUUCUGUGUGCACAUUGUAAGAUCUCAGCUUUCGAAGAACGCCUAAGUCCACAUCCCUUGUUCGUUAUAAAACACUGAAACCACUUAUUCAUCAGAGCUGAAUUGAAUAACAGAGGAAGAGCCACCAACUGAGCCAAACAUCUGACUUCAAUCAGGAGCUGGAAGAAGCCUGCGCCAGGUUCAGUGUGAUGUCUGCCAAGGAGAAAAAACCCUCCACCACCAUCCGCCGCCCUCCCAGAACAACAAGAGGUUCAAAUGUAAACCACAGGCCUCUCUGCAGGAGGAGGAUGGAGUCAUGUGUCCUCCCUCCCUCUCUCUUCAUCCUCGGCUAUUUUUAUCCCACAUUUUCUGAUCCAUUAUGUAUUCUCCAGGUGCAGCACCCGCUUAUAUUCUCAUCUACCCACCUACCGAGAGAGACGAAGAAUGAAAUUAUGGCUCUCCACUGGCAGUAAUUGUAUAAGAGGCUUCCUGGUCAACUCUAGAGGACAAAGAGGAGGAUGAGGAGGACAAGGGACAAAGAGAAAUUGAGUUUUUUACAAAAUGAUGUAAUAAAAAGUACUCAGAGUUGACCCCAAACCAAAGGGAUGCAUUGUAUGUAUUUUGAUGGACAGAUUGGCUGCACUGUGGGUGUAUAUACCAUGGAUUUUGUUCGUCCAAUAGUCCAUCAAGUGAGCAAGAGUUAAACUAGACAGGCCAUGAAGUCAAGCUCAGCCCAAUGGACCAGCUGAACUUAUCUGCAGCUCAUACUAGCUGGUCUUAUCUGCAGCUCAUCUGCCGCAUAGCUAGGUGAAGCCACUCUGACAACAGCACCCUCUGGUGACGGGCUGCAGUAUAGGUUAUAAAUCCUGCCUCCUCCAGCAAAGCUUAUGUGGCUGUGGACAAACUUUAGAAAUUUAUUACACAGAAUAUAAUUUUUCUCCCCCCUGCUUGUGAUGUUGACAUGUAGCCACUGUAAGACUGCUUUGUGCUCAAGUCCUCUUUUUUUAGUACAGCUCCAUUUUUAAAAGUUAUUAGGGGGUUCAAGUUUUCUAUGAUUGACACUUGAUACAGCCUAUGGGUGUACAAAGAUUGCAUAACUCACCCAGGGGAUACGCUGUUUGAGCCGAGCGUCAUCACAGCGACUCCCAGCGACUCUCCUGCCGAAUGUGCACAAUGCAACUGCUCAAGUGGUGGAGUGCGUACAAUGCUACUGCGCAAUGUUGGUUUCAGGAAAUGGAGAGAAAAUGUGGAAUUACUGAGAGCUUUUUGGCUUCAAAUCAGUAUACUGGCGGAAGGUGGUACCAAGUUGUCUAUAGUAUAUACAGUUUAUGGCUCUUUCAGAACAAGCCUUAUCUGAAAAAUGGGGUUCUGGAAUGUUGAGUUCUGGAAUGCUUAGAUCUACAAUUCUGUGUUCUAGAAUGCUGUGUUUUGAAUGUUGAGAUCUAGAAUGCUUCGUUCUAGAAUUCUGUGUUCUAGAAUGCUGUGUUUUGAAUGUUGAGAUCUAGAAUGCUUAGUUCCAGAAUUUUGUUUUUCCUGAAUGCUGUUUUGAAUUUUAAGAUCUAGAAUGCUUAGAUCUAGAAUUUUGCUUUCCAGAAUGCUGUGUUUUGAAUGUUAAGAUCUAGAAUGCUAAGUUCUAGAAUUCUGUUUUCCAAAAUGCUGUGUUUUAAAUGUUGAGUUCUAGAAUUCUGUGCUCUAGAAUGCUGUGUUUUCAAUGUUGCGAUCUAAAAUGCUGGCUUCUAGAAUUCUGUGUUCUAGAAAGCUGUGUUUUGAAUGUUGAGAUCUAGAAUGCUGGCUUCUAGAAUUCUGUGUUCUAGAAAGCUGUGUUUUGAAUGUUGAGAUCUAGAAUGCUCAGUUCUGGAAUUCUGUGUUCUAGAAUGCUGUGUUUUGAAUGUUAAGAUCUAGAAUGCUUAGUUCUAGAAUUCUGUGUUCUAAGAUGCUGUGUUUUGAAUGUUGAGAUCUAGAAUGCUUCGUUCUAGAAUUCUGUGUUCUAGAAUGCUGUGUUUUGAAUGGUGAGAUCUAGAAUGCUUAGUUCCAGAAUUUUGUUUUCCUGAAUGCGGUUUUGAAUGUUAAGAUCUAGAAUGCUUAGAUCUAGAAUUUUGCUUUCCAGAAUGCUGUGUUUUGAAUGUUGAGAUCUAGAAUGCUAAGUUCUAGAAUUCUGUUUUCCAAAAUGCUGUGUUUUAAAUGUUGAGUUCUAGAAUUCUGUGCUCUAGAAUGCUGUGUUUUCAAUGUUGCGAUCUAAAAUACUGGCUUCUAGAAUUCUGUGUUCUAGAAAGCUGUGUUUUGAAUGUUGAGAUCUAGAAUGCUUAGUUCUAGAAAGCUGUGUUCUAGAAAGCUGUGUUUUGAAUGUUGAGAUCUAGAAUGCUUAGUUUUAGAAUUCUGUGUUCUAGAAAGCUGUGUUUUGAAUGUUGAGAUCUAGAAUGCUUAGUUCUAGAAAGCUGUGUUCUAGAAAGCUGUGUUUUGAAUGUUGAGAUCUAGAAUGCUUAGUUCUAGAAAGCUGUGUUCUAGAAAGCUGUGUUUUGAAUGUUGAGAUCUAAAAUGCUUAGUUCUAGAUCUUUGUGUUCUGGAGUGCUGUGUUUUGAAUGUUGAGAUCUAGAAUGCUUUAUUUUAGAAUUCUGUCUUCUAGAAUGCUGUGUUUUAAAUGUUGAGAUCUAGAAUGCUGGCUUCUAGAAUUCUGUGUUCUAGAAAGCUGUGUUUUGAAUGUUGAGAUCUAGAAUGCUCAGUUCUGGAAUUCUGUGUUCUAGAAUGCUGUGUUUUGAAUGUUAAGAUCUAGAAUGCUGAGUUCUAGAAUUCUGUGCUCUAGAAUGCUGUGUUUUGAAUGUUGAGAUCUAGAAUUCUGUGCUUCAGAAUGCUGUGUUUUGAAUGUUGAGAUCUAGAAUGCUUAGUUCUAGAAAGCUGUGUUCUAGAAAGCUGUGUUUUGAAUGUUGAGAUCUAGAAUGCUUAGUUCUAGAAAGCUGUGUUCUAGAAAGCUGUGUUUUGAAUGUUGAGAUCUAGAAUGUUUAGUUCUAGAAUUCUGUUUUCCAGAAUUCUGUGUUAUGAAUGUUGAGAUCUAGAAUGCUUAGUUCUAGAAUUCUGUUUUCCAGAAUGCUGUGUUUUGAAUGUUGAGAUCUAGAAUGCUGAGUUCUAGAAAGCUGUGUUUUAGAGUGCUUGGUUCUGGAGGUCUUUAAAGUGUUCUGAAAUGCCAUUUGCUGAAAUGAAGUGUUUCAGACACAGGCUGAAAUUAGGAUGUUUUUCAAAGGCUCCAAUCAGAAAUAAGUAUGCAGUUUUUCUGCUAAUCCUACAGAGCUACCAGAGGGACAAUACAUAGACUGUCAACAAGGAAAAUACUCUCCGAGAAACGAUUUCUGACAAAUUCAUUUUAACUUUUGGAUGGUGCCUGUUUUUAAGUAACAACUCGUCAGUUAAUAUUCAUCCCACAAUGUUCAGUGUUUAAAUAAAGAGUGUGUGGGCCAGGGUCUUGAUUUUUGUGAUGAUCAACGUGUUAAAAAAGCCUCUUCUUAAUGAGCCUGAGUGAGAACAGAGGGCUGUUAUGUAACACGGUUGACCACCUGGUCCGUCUGACGGAUGAUACCCUCACACACCUCCAGCUGCAGCUCUCCACCAAUCACAGAGCAGGGAGGCUUUUCCAUGACGACGGGUUACCGAGCAGAAUCUCCUCACCUGCUGCCUUCUGCCUUCAGACUCAGGAAACCCCACAGAGACACUGUCUGAAGGGAGUAGCACGCACGCACACACACACACACACACACACACACACACACACUCUCUCUCUCUCUCUCUCUCUCUCUCUCUCUCUCUCUCUCUCUCUUAUCCCAAUCAUUGCACUGACUUAAUAUAUAUCAUGUUGCUUUAAAGUGUGUGUGUGUGUGUGUGUGUGUGUGUGUGUGUGUGUGUGUGUGUGUGUGUGUGUGUGUGUGUGUGUGUGUCUGUGUCUGUGUGCGCGCUUACGUGUGUUUGUAUGUGCUUCUAGCAGGCAAAACUGAGUCAGUCCCCAUAGUUUGUCUUCUAUUUUCAUUUUCCUCAUUUAAAUGAACUUUCCACCAGUCUAGUUUUCACAUACACCAUCAAGGGGUCUCCAUGCUAAGCGGCUAUAGGUGAGUUGGCUACUUGGCUUCUUGCAAGUGAUUGGUCGGAGUUUCACAUUUUUACACUCUUGUGAAUAAAGUGAGCAGUGCUUCAAAUUUGCAUCCUUGCAUAGACAAAUUUGAGCAAUUUGUCCAACAAAAAUCACAUCUUUACAUAAACAUUUUAUACGUUCUACUUGUGCAAAUUAUUUCAUUUGCAUGUGGUGUGAACACAACAUUACAGUCUGCACCUCGAAACGUCAUGAUGUUGUUACCCCCCAGUGUGUGAUUUCACAUUGCAUCACGCUGUUGCAGAAGCUUGUUAGCUCUCAGUUGGAGCCCCCACAUACACGCACAGUCAUGCACACACAUUGCCUGCCCCCGCCCUGCUGCCUCUGACGCUAUACAUCCCACUGUCUUUCCCUUGUUCGCCCUCUGUUACAACCUCAAAUGGAGGAUCAGAGGCUGAAUGACGAGCCACACCAUUACACUUCAGAGCAAUACAUGCUGCAGAAAAGGCGUAACAGGGGUGCAAAUAUCAUGCCCUCAGCAUUAAUUAUGUGUUAAUUGUUUCUGAUUGCAAUUUGCAAAGCGUUGCUGCAAGUAUUUGGUGAGGAAGGAAUAAAUCUUCAAGUUUUAGCACAGCAAGUCACUAGGUAACCUGGUAAGCUGGUAUCACAGUAAAGAUAUAUUGAACAAAUAUGAAGCAGCAGGAAGCAUACGCACUCCAACAGCUGUUGUCAUGCUGAUUCAGACAUUUGAAACUUGGGCAGAGAUAACAUAAAGCUAAAACAAUAAAUGACAAAAUCAGGGAAUCCUGAUGUUCAAACUUUUUCUGUAGUGCAGACCAAGGAUUUCUGCAGCCAACAGCGGAGCAGUAUCCAGAGUACCUGUCUUGUUUGAUGUGAUCUCUACACACAAUCACAGCCUGAUCCACAGUAACACCAGGGACAUGAGUUUGCCAUGUGGACGUUUGGCAUUGGUCCAAGUGAGUACGAAUCACUCGGCGUGUUGAUACUUGGUGCAUAAUAACUUCUUUAUCUAACCCUCAACAUGAAUGGAUCACAGCCCCCCACACCCUCUGCAAACAAGCUCUUAUUGUACUCUCACCUCUGGACCCCCCGACCCCAGUUAACCAGCACUGAGUCUGUCUGUGUCCCUGGCACGACCACAUUUCUACAUGUGACUAACAGCCCACCUGGGAGGUGUUAUUCAUGCCUGUGUUUACAGAAACACAGUGCUGCAGUAUGGUGAUUGAUCAUUGGAUCUUAGCAGUGUGCUGAUGGUGGUGGCGGUGCAGGUCAUGUGAUCUCCCAGGGUCAGUAAGGACACAGAGAAUAAGCUUUUGAACUCCUCUGACCUCAGCUGUAAACAGCCUUAUUUUAGCCAUGUAGAGGGAGUUUUCAGUGAUAGUUUUGGCUCUGUGGGCAGGUGUCAAUCCUGCCUUACAGUGGCCUUUGGUUUGUAUAUUUGGGUUUGGUGUCUCGUAUUUUGACAAAUAUAUCACAUAUGUAUCAUAUAUGACAAGUUUCUGAUCAGGUAAUUUUCCUCACUGAAGCACAGUGAUAUCACAGUUUACAAACCAUUUGGUGGUAGUUUUGGUGCUGUGGGCAGGUGCUGAGUCCUGCUGGAUAAGGAAAUCUGUAUCUCCAUAAAGCUUCUCUGCAGAGGGAAGCAGGAAUUUCUCUAAAAUCUCCUGGUACGAUUUAGGCUGCACUUACUCUGGACAUUAUAAAACCCCGUAGACUAACAGUAGAUGAUUAUGGAUUACGUUAAGAACUUAGAAUUCUCUUAAAAUAUUUAAUCCAAUGGGAAGAAAACCAAUUGAAGGUGUAAACCAAACUGACCAGGAGAGCUCAGCCUCCUUAUAUGACCUCCCAGCUUCUGCUGAUAGAUACCAGCAGAGGGAGAUUUCAGGUCACCAUUAGGUCCCAAUUAAAUGUUUAACCUUUGGUCUGGAUUUGGAUCUUUGUCUAUAACCUCAAGUAUCACGGUAUUUUUUAAAACCUUGUUGGUUUUUUGUCCUGAAAAGUCUGAGAAACAUCCAGAGAGUUCUUCCUCGGCCUCCACCCCGCUUAUUAUUGACCGCUGGCUGGCCGCUCACCGGAUGUCAUGUGUACUGUCUGAACUGCAUUUAUCAUCGCUGUGGCAAUACUGAGGAAUGUUAUUCCCCUGCUACACACAUGGACACACAAAAGACACAGCCAAACCACACAAUAGCUACACACACAUAAACACACAGUCACCGCAGUAACUAGUCUGCAGCUCUUGCAGUAAAUCUGAUUCCAGCAGAACAAAAGCAGGAUAAAGUUCUGUUCAAUCAGAUUUUACUAUGGGAGCUCAAACAGGAAAAUUUGAUACCUGUGGUCUUUAUGUGGCUUUAAUUUGAAAAAACAAGGAUAAACAAAGAAGGUUUGUUUAGUAAAAAAGCCCAAACUGCUAAAUGACGGUAACAUUUUUUAUUAUCCUCCAAUAUUUCUCGUCUCAGGCUGUUUGUGAAAAGCUAACCUAUGAAAGUGUCACCGUCUUUUUUGCUUAAUUUUAAACAUUUGAAACACUGUCAUCACACAGAUCCAGGGUCUUGUGUAGUUGUGCAUGUUAGUCGAGCCAAAAUUGCAUGAAAUCCAGUUUCUCGAACUUGGUUGAACGUACCUACAAAAUGCUGUUGAGAGUUGUUUUUCUCUUUCAUGCAUAUACCUCUUUUAUGACUCAAAGUCACUUAAGUAUUCUGAGUAUGCCCUACGGUUUGCAAAUCCAACCUUUACCCAUCAGUCAAACAGCAUAAAUGGUUUAUAAGAAGCUGGUCGGUGAACAAAACCUUGACUGAAGAAGAAGGAGUGUGAAAAGAGAUGAAGACAGUGUAUGGAAAGAUCAGAGCUGUGAAGAGACAGUUCAGUAGCCUCUUAUCAAUGCACAUGAGUAUUGUUUUGGUAUGCAGCGUAUUGGGUCAAGUGGGGGAUGACCCAAUAGUAACAAGCUCAAAGUGCACAUAUCACCUCAAGGAAGUUUGAACAGCAUAAAAGGGUUGUAUGAAGCUGAGUAGUCAAUGUAGGUUAAGGCCCUUUAUACCUUUAGGCAGGAACAAUAUUUUUGUGCAGCCUCCCUGCACCCAGAAAUAUGCUGCUGUAACUGCGUCUUUGACACUUGAACAGAUGCCUCCUCUAAAUUACAGAUCAUAUAUUUAGUUUACUGGUGUUCUCCUGGAAGCCUCGUGUUUUUCCCUUGUGGGGUUUUUCUGCCUCAGCAUCCAUCUGCACCCUCAUAGAUGAAAAUAGAGCCUCUCAAAAAAGACCAAAUUACAGAUAAAUUUUAGAAAUUUACAAGAUGCAUCAAACCAAAACAUGUGGUCGCCCUAUUUUUUUGUAUAAAAAGACAAUUUUAUUUUUCCUGGUCAUGCAGGAUUUCUGUAAAAUCAUAUUCCACUGGCUCCAUGAAUGUGUGCACAGCUGAUGAACAUAUGCCUGGUAUGAAUCAGUCAUGGCUGCAGUGGAAAUAUAUGUUAAACGUGGGUGGUUCUGGCUGCAUCUGUGAUUUAUAAAAGCUGCUAUAAUCAAAUAACUCAAACAGUGAAAUGUUCCUGAGGCCUUGCUUAAUGUGUAUAUACAUCACUGAUCAACACACUGCGUGGAGGUAUCAAAGAUCGGCGGCCAUUUUUCAACCGCUGUAAACAAACACAAGCUCCAACAAACGGGUCCCAGAUGUGUGCGGGAGUCAGACAUCAACACAGACCGUGAGCCAGUCACGAAACAAGAAGAAUGAACACUAUGGGACUUUUACAAAGUCAUAUGGGGGGGUUUCUAAACCUUAAUAAACCCUUGUGUUUCCAUAACUCUGUUUUUUUCUUGUUUAAGGGUCAGUUCACUUAAAUAUACAGAAAUAAUACUUUGUUUCAUGGACUCUGAUAUGAAAAUGUUUUACCAGCAUCAUAUUCUGGAGGAAAAGGAGUUGAAAAAUAACAAAGCACUGUCAGGUCUUUAGAGGGCACUCCCACGGAUUCACGUGCAAUCAGCGAUAACAAGUUGUCUUUAGCCAUAUAGGCUAACCAUAUAAGCAGUAGACUGUGUCCUUCCAGAGGUGGAAAUUUACUUCUAGACUUAUAAAAUCAGCAUGUCAUCAUCCAUGGUGUCAUCAGGGUGAAAUUCUGUCUGAAAACCUUUCACUUGUUCAUCUCUGCCAGUUUGCAUUGAAAUAUAAUCCACCUGAAACACAAAGUGUUUUAUUUUGAAAAGAAGCCGGAUGUUUUAUUUUGUGACUGUGCCUGACUUCCUCUCCAGCACAGGUUAAUCUGUGCUGAAUCUAUCCGGCAUGCUCCGGCGUCCGGAAAAAAUAGAACUCUUGCGAUCAGCUGUGGAGUCCAGCGAUCCGCAGCAGAAUGGAACGAAGCCGGUGGAAAUUGACGCAGUAACUUGAAUGGUUACGCUCAGCUACGUUCGGCGGAUACAGCCUUUUUGUAGCCAUUCCAGAUGCGGUGGAAAUUGCAGGUUAGACUCCCAUACGGCCAGAUUGAGUAUGGCAAUUUGGGACACCUGACAGAAGGCACUAAAGCAUCACUCUUAAUGUAAAUAUGUGACAUUUCAAAUGUGUUAUCAUUCCUCCAGCAAAGAACUAUGGUGAAUCUCAUAUAGAUCUGUAGAGUAAAUUUGUUGAGGUUAAUAAUGAUAAUACUGACAGAUUACAUAGCUGGAAUCCAGUUAACCAACUGAUAAUGUCAGAAAGUCACUAACUGGGAUAUAACUCAGCAGGACAGAUCUGCUUUUGCUCCUCUGUUAAUGGAUUUCUGUGAAGACUGGAGCUCCAGCUGAGUCCCUGUGGCUGCCUUUUCUUCUCUUUACUCUUUAAGAAGACUGAUUUAAAGAACUAAAGAGCUUGUCACUCCUUUUCAUCGUUUUUCCUUUUUGCUGUGCUGAGGACACAUUCAUCUUGACAUUUACAGACAAGUUUCAACGCUGAGCUGUUCAGAGAGAGACGUUCGUCCUUGGCUUUUCAGAUGUGUGAGCGUGCAAAAAGAGAGAACUUAAGUCUCAGCAGUCUUUAAAAAGUCUUCAAUAACACAACAGGCCUGUGUGUUGGAGUGACUCUGUCUUUCUUUGAUACAAAACACUAGUCUGCAACAUGAGUUCUGCUCGUCACUUUACCUCAUGUUCCAGGUUUCCUGCGUAGUCUUUUAAUAGGUACAGGGCUAUGACAAAAGCUGCUGCACAGAGUCAGUGCAGAAGUAUAACUCAGACUGAACUCACCUUGAACAGUGUGUAUAAAUGAAAAAUUUAGCUACAAACCAAAAACUGUUUUUUUCCAACCGGAGACGUUUUUUAUAUGUAUUUUUUUUUUCCAGGAAAAAAUCUGUGUUUCAAUAUGGGAUCUAAUGGGGGAUUUCUUUCUUUCACAGCCAGCCUCUUGUGGACACUUAGAGACCUGCAGUUUUUGGCACUUCUUUUGGCACAAAUUUCUUUAUUUUCUGCUCAGAAAGUUGCUGCUCAGUUUUAUUCUGUGGGGGCACUUUGGAUGGUUCCAGAUCAGUCGGUCUUGUCUGUGAAAACUGAGGAGGAAACUUGAAAUAUUACCAACACAUUGACUGAAAGUCUUAAGAGUUCAAAAACUCCUGCAGAGAUCCAAUUCUGAAUGAGGCUCCACUGUACUUUGUUUUUCACUUUCAGGCUUUGUUGGAUGGUUAAACUAUAAAAGUGUAACUGAGGAGUUUGAUGACGAGGGCAGCAGACACACACUUGGACCAAAUCUGAACCCCAAACAAACACUGAUCCAAAAGAUAAACUGUUCGUUAGAGAUGCCGGGAUGAGCACUGAGGGUUUGAGGCUGUCAGAUGAAGUCUACCCUGAUAUCGUCAUGGAGUGUCAGACAGAGAUGUGGAAAGUUUGAAAUCAGAGAUUAGCAUGCUGUGGCUGUCCGCAGACUUCAAAGAAAACUCCAGCCGAUCGUCACAUAUCGACCCGAGCUGCCACAAUCUUCACUAAGGCCGGCGUGUCUCAGCCUGCAGACAGAUUUUUAUCACAUUAAGACCUCGCUGCAUUGACAGCUGCUUGUCAGGACGCAAGAAACUUUUCUCUCAGAGGACUCUUCAUUCAUGUCGCAGAGGCUCCGACAAAAUACUGACACUGAGCUGCUGGAGCAAAUAUUUACAGAGAUAGAAACAUGUAAUCUCAAAGCCAUGUGUUCAUACUCAGGAUUUUAAGGGUUGAACGGGCUGGUGGGUCUUUACGAGGUAACAGGUGUGUUCAUCCGUGUGCUCUCAAGCUAAAGCCAGCCAAAUGUCAUCAUUUACACUGUUUAUGCAGGAAAUGGGUGUCUUUAUAGUGACCAAGAGGACUAUUUCACACUCUAGGGCCAUCCAGGGCUGCAAUCUGACUCUCUGGAAGGUCAAAUAUGGAUACCAAGUUUAAAAAGGAUGUAUUCAAAACACAGUAAACCGCUCUAGACUCUUCUUUAGGCUUUACAAUUGUGUGUUUUUAACUCGAAGUGGACAAAUAAAUACAACCAAUCCAUGAAAACAUACUCAAUCAAAAAUAUCCAUACUUAUUUACAGAGUUAGUCAGCUAAAGUCCGAGUUAGCCCUCUCUGUUGGCUAUCUAUGGCUGUCUAUCUGGAGUUUCUUUCUGCAAUGAGGGCAAAGUAAGGGCAAAUGUCCGUCUCACAUUAGGAUAAAUGUCACCAGCUGACAGGGUCACUAUUUUCAAAGAAACCCUGGCUUUCAAGAUGCUAACUAACAUGAGCCGGUUAACCUGUAAAGUCAUGGGUCAGCUCUGAGCAGCAGGAAGUCAGGGCCUCGUCGAACAGGUGUAUUUGUCAAAUGAUGGUAUCACCAACAAAAGUACAAAGCCAAGGCCCUGAGGUGGGGAGAGCACACCUCCCCUCACAACAUAAAAAAGAGGCGCUGGGGUGGAGGCCGGUUGCAAAGCGGUUUGCAGAGGAAGCAGGAACAGCAGGGUGGCUAGAGCAGUUUGAGUAGCAGCGAACACAUUGGUUCUAGCCUCCACCCCAGUUCACCAAGGUCAUCUCACUGAGUCUUUGCUGCUGCUCUUCCUUCCACAGCUAUUGAUGUAUACACCAUAAAAUAGAGGAGGCGUGUGCUCUCCCUGCUUCAGACUUUAGCAUUCCACAUACACACAUGGAAGGGCAGGGAGCUCUUAGAAUAGAGACAUGGAGCCUUUGCUGCAGCUCUACUUGCCUGGGCUUUUAUAAUCAUCAGAACCAGAGUCAGAAUCAGACUCAGAAUACUUUAUUUAUUCUAGGGGGAAAUUUUGUUCAGUGUGCACAUGGGGGGAGGUACUCUCUCCCUGUAUCAGGCUUUAGCAUUUCACAUACACAUGAGGAUGUGCAUUGAGCUGUAAGAACAGAGCCACACUGCUAUGUAUAACUUAUUACAUGCAGAUGAUAAAUACUCUUUGAUGAAAGUGCUCCUGACUCAAUAACAAUCCGAGCCUGUCAAACAAAAACAAGUCCCUUAAAGGUAACAAGACGGAUGUGUUGGCCUAUUUCACCACAGCAGCUCUAAACUCAGAUCUGUAAACACGAAACUCUCUCUUAAUUAGAUUUCAAAACCUUCCUCAAUUGAUCUAUAUUUACAGCACACUGUACAUGUUAGUGUAAUAUGUGUGUGUAUGUGUGUGUGUGUGUGUGUGUGGGGGGGGGGGGGGGGGGGGGGGGGUCACAGAGGCCCGUGCGAGCCAGUUUGGCUGCUGUCUCAGCAGAGCAGAGAAAGACGUGUAAAUCUUUGGCCUCAUUAGCCCCAUGUUUGACGAUCAGGUGAAUACACGCCCUGUUUAUGUUUCACAACAACAUACAGCAUCCCAACAUGCUGACACAGACCCCCAGAUCAAUCCGCCAAUCAAUCAAUUAACCAAUACGUCAGUCCAACAAGCCGAGCAUCAUGCUGACAGGUUAAAGAGCAUGCCAGACAACUUAGACAGUGGCUCGACUGAUGACCCCAGCUGACUGUGAACAGCUCACAACUGAUGAUAACAGGAAGAAUUGCAUUUCCUUUGCAGAAAACACGAGGAAAUGCUUGAUUUUUCAAGCUGAUAAAGCACCAUAAAUCAAGAAGUCUGGGUGGUGCUGUUACAGUUAUAAGAGCUGAAAAACACUAUAUGUAGUAUCAAAAAGGUAACAGACAAUAAUUAAAAAUUUCCUCACUGUUCACUGCUGUAAAAAUAGUUACAAUAAAGUUAAAACAUUUAAAAUGUAUGAGAGGCACAGAUUGUUGUUAACCCUUUUAAACAUAACCUAUAUGACAAGUUAAUUAGUCAUUAAACUUCCAGGCUAACUAUGGGUGUCUUUAGGCAUACUGUUUGUACCAUAGACUUUAUAUAUAGAAUAGACACCAUCUGCCUCCUCGCUGGGUGAAGCCACGGCAAGAACAGCACCCUUUGGUGACGGGCUGCAGUAUAGGUCAUAAAUCCCGCCUCCACCAGCAAUCCCUAUGGAGCUGUGAGCGAACUUUCGAAAUUUAUUACAAAGAAAAAAAAAAUUUUCUCCUUCCUGGUUGCGAUGUUGACAUGUCCUAUUUUUACUGUACAGCUCAAUUUUUAAAAGUUAUGAGGGGGUUCAUGUUUUCUAUGAUUAACACUUGAUACAGCCUAUGGGUGUACGAAGAUUGCGUAGCUCACCUGGAGGAUACACUGUUUGAGCUGAGCGUCAUCAUAGUGACUCCCUGUGACUCUCCUGCCAAAUGCAUAAAAUGCUACUGCAUAAGUGGUGGAAUGCAUAUGUUACUGAGAGAGUGGUGGUUCCAGGAAGUGGAGAAAAUCCAGGAAAUACCGAGAGCAAUUUGGCUUUAAAUCUGUGUAGUGGCGGAAGGCUGAGCCAAGUUGUCCAUAGUUUAUACAGUCUAUGGUUAGUAUAAAUAAGGCUAAGGCUGUCAGCGCUGUUAAGCUUGUGCACUGAAACACACACAUUCUGAGUUAUAAUCAAACCAUUAUCAAUAAACAUUUUGACAAUAACAUCCUGGUAUUCAUGCACUCUUACCAAUGCACCAAAGUGGUCACGUGUUCCUUAACAGCCACAGUCAAAAAUAUUCAUCAUCGAUAGCAACAUGAAGUUAGCGCUAACGGCUAGCCUUGGAUGUUUACCAUCAAAGCAUAAUUUAGGGGCCAUUUUAUGACAACAAAGCUGUGUAAAAAGUAACACCCCUGACUGGGUCUAGUUUUUCUAUCAAGAAUUGAGGAAAUCAAAGUUUUUAUAGAGUUUGCACAUUCUGCAGAUUUACUCAGGCAGUGUCCCAGGCAAACCUAAAAGAGGUCAAAAUGUUUAAUCGGUACAAAUACAUUCAGGAAUGAAAAAGAAGACCUUAAAAAAUGAGAACUGAAACAACGCCCUUCACAAAGUUGUCUUAAAUUGCACACUUUAGAAAUAAAUGUCCUCGUAGCCUCAGAGCCACAGUUUCUAGCACAUUGCUGCUGCAGCAAACCACAGACAGCUUUUCUCACGUGUUACCGGAUAAAUAAAAACGCUUCGUCAUACUGUCACACUCCACUCACUUCCUGUUUUGGUUGUUCUUGAGCAGAUGACCGUUUUACUACAGGAAGUGAGACAGAGGUCUGUUAUGUUUUUUUUUUUCCCUCUGUAACCACAGCGUGACAGACAGCCAAGUUCACUGCUGCUGAAGAGGAAGUGCCCGUUAGCUUUGUUUUCAACGCCUUAGGUCAGCUGAUGUCGUUAAGGGCAAAGAUGAUCAUUACAUCAGGUGGAUGUGGAACAAAAAUGUUGAAGGGGGAAAUUUCAACUUUUAUUAGAACACAAAAACCUGUUUCUGGAUGAACCACCUUCUGUUGCUAAUUGUUCAUCAACAUAAACUCACCUAGUUUACCUGCUGGAGGGUAGGUGAUGUUCUGAGCUCAACAGCAAAGUAAAGCUCAACUACUGUAAAGAAGCCUUUGGCAUCCCACACCAGAUUCAGGUAGACCAGCAGCAACUGGCAUUGAAUCUAAUGUGAAGGGGCCACCUGUUUGCUAUUGCCUGUGCUGAUAAUAAAAGAUUGUAUAAGUUACUGUAUUCUGUUUUUUUAUAUGUAUUUAAGGAUAUCUCCACAUUGAAAACAGACAAGACCAUGUUGUGGAAGUCACCACAGGUUUUUGGACAAUAUUUUAGAUAAAUUAGCUCCCCUUGUACCACAUGCAGCAUUAGUAGAGAGAUGUUCAGUAACACAUCCACACUAAUCACUUAGUGUAAUGAUAAAUGCAAAGCUGUAUGGAGGACUUUUACCCACAGGAAGUGAGAGUGGGAGCGAAGAAGUGAGAGGAUUUUUAAGGUAGCUGGAUGACGUUAGUUCAAGUUGGACAGUUGGAGGAUUUUCCCGUUGUUUCUCUUGAUCUCAUGACCACAUUAACCCCGUAGUUGAGGUCACUCUGUGUUGUUCUGCAACAGCAAACGUCUCUGCUGUCUGUGGUGGAGACGUGUUACACACUUUGCAAUCUGACCGCAGAAACACAGAGGACUUACACAACCACUGCAAAGCAGCAUGAAACGGCUCUAAAGACAAGAGGAAGUUUAACAGAAUAAAUGUCACUGUAAGGUUAAAGAAUCCUCACUUCAGGGAAUAAAAGCAAAAGAUGUUAUGUGCUAUAAUUUUUGUUCUUAACAGACAAAACAAUGAAAUACAAACCAACCACAAAUUACACAAAUAGACAAAACACAUGAAAUAAACUCAUAAAAUUACGAAGAAAGACCAAAAACUUACAUUCAGAUAUAAGGCCCUUAAAAUAAAAAAGGUACCAGAGGAAAAAAUACAUAAUAAAUAUACGAGACAAAAGACUUGAGACAAAAACAAAAGAAAAAACAAACAAACGACCUCCUCUUUUUUGCGGCAGGACAGAAAGGAUAGGGGCCAAGAGAAGAGACAACAAAGAGACUCAAAAAGAGAAACAAAACAACUACAAAGAGAGUGAGAAAGAAAGACACACGCACACACACAAAAAAAUCAAAAAUGGUAAGUAUUAAAAUAAAUGAAGAGGAAAAACUCACAAAAAUCACAAAAUGACAAACAGAGAGAUACAAAACAACAGAAAAAAAACAUAAAGCAAACAACAAAUUACACUGAUCAAAUAAAAAAGUCAAUAAAUUACAGUCGCAGUUCAGAAAACCCAAAAAGAAAACAAACUACAAAAGUUAAUGCAAAAAGAAACACAAAAAAACUAUGGAGAGACUGAAAACAAAAAAGAGAAACAAAGAAGCACAACAAACACAAAACAACAACAAAGAUAAACAAAAGAAAAACACACAAAAAGACUGAGACAUACAACAGAAAAAGACAAAAAAAAAAAAAAAGAAGAAGAAGAGAAAAGAGAAGAGGGGAAAUAAAAAAGAGACAAAAAUGACAGAAACCAGUAAAAUUAGAGACCACAAACUUUACUGAGACAAAACAACUAAAAAGAGACACAAAGCUCUAAAAAAUAUGUAGAAACAAACAACAGAAAAAUUAGUAGAGGUUUAGACAGAAAUUAGAUUUUUUUUAGAUUUGAUCAAACCACUCUAUCAGCAGAUUGAUCUGUAUAAUAGAAUGAUUGUAAUGAUUAUUAUCUGUCAUUAGCAGUUUUUCACAGCGAGAAAAUUAGCACUCUUAAACUCUAAAUUUGAAAAGCUGCUUUAUAUGAAUGCAUUAGUUUAAAAAAAAAGUGUAAGAUUGAAUUAAGCUGCAGGUUUUUACAUGUUUUAGGGAUCCUGUGUGUUUAACGCUCAGAUUUUUGUGUUGCUUUGGAAACACCUGAUGAAACUCUGAUGCAAACCGAACUGAACGCUCUGCUCUCUCUGCUGGAGGCUCUUCUGGCAGAACUACACAGCCCCAACACGUCUCAACAAAAUAAAAGCCUUUUGAUGCCGACAUGCUUGGCAGGAUAAAUCCGGCGUGACUCUGGUGUUUUCUCAUUUGAUGUUUCUUUUCCAUCCCUUUAAUGUUUCUUCUGACUAAAGAUCAUUUUAAUCAGUUUAUUCAGACCUCUGCUUCCUCAUUCGCUCACAGCAUGUGAGAAGACAGCCGGCAGCAACACAGCCGACAUUUGUAUCAGGAUACUAUCACGUUUAAAAGCAACAGAUUCACUGCUGGUUAAAGAAGUUUUACUUUGAUACAACUCAGAUUGGUGUUUCUUACUUUAGCAGGGAGAUUGCACGUUAGCAUUAACUGUAAUGGCAGAAAGCUGAAGAGAUACUUUAAUGCUCUGAUUAAACAGGACUAUUCCACUUAGGGUACAUCUGAAACAAAUCAUGUAAGAUUCAGUGCUUAGUGAUUAUUUGAGUCAACCCUGUACUGUACAACGUUAUAUUGUUACAUAAACAAUAAAAGCUUUUAAAGUAAAAUCAUAUGAUGUGGUAAAAUCCACUCGACCUGUGAGUCAGUCAGCUUUCUGGUCUUCAUAUCUUUCUGCAACAUCCAGGGUCUUAUUUUAACCACAGAUUAAUGAUCAUAAUUACUAGUAAGCUCAAUAGCAUUAAUCCUUUUCUGAAGAGUAUCUGAGUCCUCUGUGUGGACGGGUAAUCUUGGUAAAUUGUCGAUCACAUACAGGAGGACUCUUCAGGAAGUUUCAGGAAGUUGGCUUCGGGGAAAUGCAUAGUAUUGGUAGAAAACCACCCAAAAGCAGAUUUUUUCAUCAUGGGGGACCUUUAGGGCAUGUGUUUUGUGCAAAGUUAACAAAGUUAAAGUUUGUUAUGACCCAUAGAGAAGAUGAAACUGCACAGGUUCUUCCACCUUCUUCGAUGAAAGUCAAAGUAGUUUUUUGCUUGUAUCUGGAUUUGCAGCUUUUUUCUGUCUUCGUAUUUGCAGCACUUUGCUCUUCACACAGUAGUGCACUGCAGAUGAAAAAAACAUGCAGUAAAAAGCUACAUCUGUUUUGGAGGUUUUGCAGCACAUUUCUCCUUGUGCAGAUAGUUUUUGGUACUGAACAUUUUGCCCCAAAUAAAUGCAAAAUAGCUCAUUUAAAUAUGUAUGAUCAGCACCAACAAACAGAGACAUUGUUUGCCCUGCAGCAUAUUUUUAAGUGCAUUUCAUUCUUUGCAUGAGAAUGCUUGUGAUUAACACAUUAUAUUUUGGUCGUUGUGUUGUGUUGUGUUGUGUAGACAAAGGGGUGUCAGCAGCCUGCAGAGCAGUGCAGGUUCACAGCCCGGACUCUGCAGGAGGUCGCUGCAGAAUGUUUUUCCUGGAGGAGUCAAUCACAGGAAGACGUGACCGUCCUCUACGUCCACACCAGUGUUUGCUUUUUCAAGAGGUUUACCCCAAGUACAAGACUCACUGCAGGGGUGCGGGGGCCUCCGAUACAGCUGCAGAAUUUAAGCACCCGGUUCUUUCUGUCCUUACUUUCCUCUAUCUUUCCUUCAUUUACAUCAAUCAGCUAUAACAUCACAUGUGACUCUGCUCCGCGCUCCUUCACAGCCACUAAACCCCCAAUUCACCUUAUUCAAGCUCUUUGAGCAUCUCAUUAAGACUUACGGGCUACAUUUAUGUCUGUUGCAGGGCAGCGAGACAGUGAAAUUACCUGGUUCAGGAAAGCCAGCAAUAAAAACACAUGGAGACCUUUAUCUUUGCCCCCCUUGCCACUAUCUGGCAGUGAAGUUAGUUUUAUUCUGUGGCCUGAGCAGCCAUUCACCUUCACCACAUCUCAUUCAUCAGCUUCAGUUUCAUCGUCCUCUAUGAACCACAUCUGUCAGCUUUACGACCCUACAUGUCAGAAAUCUGCAGAUUCAUGAGUCUGAACAAUAACAACCUUGUUACAGCUGCCCAGCCGAGUGUCUGCCUUUUUAAACAUUGCUUUAGAUUGUUUGUGAGCAAAAUAACAUUUUAAAAAAAGUAAUACAGUUAUACUUUUAUCAUUCCUGUGUGUUUGUUUUGCAUUGCUUGUAAAGAACUCUCUCGGCUUUAAUAACCAGAUGUCCAGAGUGAUCCUGAACACACCAUGACAGGUUUUAAAAACACUUUAACCAACUCCACACCAAAACAUGGAGACGUGCCUCUUUUCUUUGGGAAUGCCACCCACAUAUUACCUGCUGUCACAUUCAAACACACACACACACACACACACAGACAAACACGCACGCACACGUACACACUGCUGGGUGUCAGAAGGUAAUAGUUGCAGGUUGGCGUUGUGAGGUAUCCAGUCGUUCUUUCACUUCCUCUAUCACUGUUACCCUGCAUCUGAACAAACAGACUGCUCUGUGUGUGCAUCCAACACACACACACACACACACAUUUUACAGAAGAAAUGUCUAACAAGAUAUCUAAGACAAGAAAAUAAUGUUAUCCAUGGGAUUUUGGACUGUAUUAAUAAAAUAUAAAAGUUAUUAAUGGUCUGUCAUUAGUUACUUUUUUUCAGUUAUGCUAAUUAUUUCCUCCUUUAAACACAAACGUUAUUUUGUCUCCGAUAAACAGGAAUUUUGCACAAAGUCAGAUGACAACAUGCAUGUUAGACAGACAAAAGACUGGGUCAAGAGUCUGCACUUCUGUAUCACUCAAAAUUCGUUCCUCAGUCCACGUUCCUCUCUCCUCGAUCCUCUCUCCUGGUUCCUUUCUGCUCCACCCUCUUUCCUUGGUCCUCUCUGCUUAUUCCUAUCUCUGUGAUCCUCUCAAAUCUUGUUCUGAUAUUGUACAUUGGAUCACAAACAACCUGAGAAAAAUCAAAUAGUCCCUAAGGAUUUCAGGUCCUCUGUGGAUCUGUAUGGGUCUUGUGUAUUUGGGUUAUACUGGAUUAUGAACAGAAUUUUAAUUUAACGUCAUUGUUGGCGUCUUUGUUAACAGAUUGACGAUUAACUGAGAUUUUGGAUGACAGUUGCCUUAUCUACCUCUGAAGAUGUGUUGUCAAAACUUUGAAAGGAGAGCUGGACAAGGACAGAAAUGUCAACAUAAAUAUUCCUGCAGACGUCACACAUAAAAAGACUUUCCUGAACUUUUUCUGGCUCUGAAUGAUGGUUAACUGUUUGGAAAAAGUGGUCGUCCUGCUCUGAUUGUAGAAGCUGAUUGGUUGUCAGAGCAGAGUUGAAUUACAGAGCGGCGGGUUUGUGUCGUCCUCUGGCCGUCCUGCUCUUCAUCAAAAUCAAACGAGCUCAUAAAUCUGAUGGACACAAAGUGGCUCUGCUGCAGCUCCAGGCCCAAACAGUUCCAGUUUAAACGGCGGAGGAUUUAAACCGGGUGAUGUGUUGGCGCCGUGGGAGCGCUCGGCUGCUGGCAGGUUUACGACCCGGCUGCUGCAGCCUUCUGUUGGAGGUCUGGAUGGGCUGAGAGCGUGGCCGUCAUCAGUCUGAUUGAUGCCUCUGGAGUUUAAACAGGCAGAGCUGCUGUUCACCUUGACUUCAGGACUGAUAAAGAGGCGAAGUGUUGCUCUCUGAGGUCACAUGUCCUGUUAUCAGGGUGUUUCAAAAGCAAUUAAACAUCACAUCUUAAUCUAAGUUCCUCUUGACGGAGUGAGAAAUUGGCUUAUAAUUUUUACGUCACGUUUAUGAGAGACUUCCAAAGGACAAAACAGGAUUUUUGAUAUUGCAGGAUAUCGUAUAUUUUCACAACCAAUACUCCAAAACCACCAGGGCACUGUGUAUUAUGUUGAUAAAAACAGAUUUUGAUGGUUUACAGUCUUUACAUAAUCUUGUUUUUUGUACUUUUCUGAUCAAAUUAGGACUUACAAUGUUAUGCAAACCAUCUCAAUUGUUUUUUCAUCAUCAUUUCAACAUCCUAACUUCUUUGGUAUUGUUAGACCCCAGCCGCUAUGUGUUGACUGCUCUGGGAUUUUUAGAGAAGCAGAGGCUCAUGGGAGAUCUCCAGCAAACUGAGCCAAGUAAACAGUGAGAUGUUUGAAUGUGAUCCAUGCUGCUCGCCUCAGAGAUGUUUUCUCUCCGCGGGGAUCAGAAACAAAACACAGCUGCCAUUUUGAUUUUGUUUUGUUUAGAGACACCAGGAGAGUCCACUCAUGGGGUCAAAGGUCAUCUGUCUAGAUAACCUUUCUUUUCUUUGGGAGUGGAGUUUAAUUCUUCAUCCUUCUUCUUUCAGGGACGUGUUGUUCCUGCUGAUGAUCUAAUCUGAGGAUGGAGGCUACUCAGCGUCAGGUAAAUACAGACUCAGCUGAUCAGUUGGGGAUGAGCUGAAAAACACAAUUUACAGCCUCGUUGUCAAGGAAACAACACUGAAUUCGCAGUGAGGUGGCUGCUUUGUGUUUGGAAAAGAUCUGAGUUUGUUCAGUCAUUUGGAACAGGACAGAGAUACGACUUCAUCUCUGUCUGAGGACUCCAGAAAGAGGUGAGGAAACAGCUGAGCCUGACUUUGUUCAGUUUAGUCCCAGCUCUCUUUUCUUUGAUUUAGUGCAUCUAAACUCAUGUGUGUCCUGAGCCUAGUUUGAUGUUGCUCAUGAAUGAAUGUGAGUUUAAAUCACCAGGUUUCAGCCUGUUGGUGCAUCUUCAGGAUGGAACAGGUCAAAGGUCACACUGUCAGCAUUUGUGUCUUUUUCUGCUGACCUCUGCAAGACUUCCACUACAGCUCAAUCAUCCUUUCUUCCUCAGAUACUGUACACUUUCCUCCUCCUCCUUUUCACCCUUCCUCCUCCAUCCUCAGGCGCCACAUCCGUCUCACAAUUGGGUGUGAUCCUGGCUGGUAACCAUGGUGACAGCUGCCUUAGCCAGCCAGCAGCGGGGGAACAAACGUGAGGACUGAUGAAGGACGAAGGAGGAGGAGGAGGUGUGUGUGUGUGUGUGUGUGUAUGUGUGUGUGUGUGUGUGUGUGUGUGUGUGUGUGUGGAGGAUGGUGGGAGGGUGUCAGAAGGUGAAGACAGCCAGCUGUGUCCUCAGAGGCAGGCCACAGGUGUGUGUGUGUGUGUGUGUGUGUGUGUAUGUGUGUGAGCUACUGCUGUUGGUCUCUUUGUCUUCUGUUUUUUGUCUUCAAGUAUAAAAAUGAAAACAACAGAUAUAAACAUGAUCCAGAACAACAAAGUCAUAUUUUAGACACAGUUAAACCAUGAAAUGGGUACGACUGUAAUCAAAAAAUUAACCAAUUAAAAAUGUGGACACGCUGUUUGUUGUGAACAACAACAUGCUGGCCACAGUUGGUGUCGGUUUUUUUGCUGGUACCAACAUUGUCACCUCAGACUCAGACUGUUUCAACAAUCAGAGCCGACCAUGUAAAGACAUAAAAGCCAAGACUGUGGGAAUAACACCCAGAUUAUAUCCUCCCACUCACAAACAUACUGCUGUAACAGAAACUGAAUCACUUUUUAACCUCUGCAUUUGAUUGUUUUGUUUUUAUGUCUCAGCAUAUUUUGGUGCUUUUCUGUCUUUGCGUUUGUUUGCAUUGGUCUUCACCCCUCCCAACAACAUUCAAAAAGCCACUUGAUAAGACGCUUAUCAAGUCCUGCCUUAAACGUUCCAGUUCAGCUGCUUUUUCACUGAUAAAGUAAGACACAGUUGGGGGUGAUACUUUUUACACAGCUUUGUUCUCACUGAACAAACCUCAAAGAAAUAUGCCUCGACAGAAAACAUCUUGGCUGUUUUUUUAUUGAUAGAUAGUAAGAUGCAGCUUGACACAGUGCUAUCUUUAACAGAGCUUUGCAGUCAUAUUAGAGGACCCGACAAAUAACAGAAUACACCUGAGGCUAGCUUUUGGUGCCCACCAACUCUCCAUUUUGCUACGUUAGCUUACAAUUACUGUUGGUACAUUGGCUGCUGUUCUGAGCUUGCUCUGAGCCUUUAUGAAGAUAUUCAUGAAUGAACAGCUUCAGGUUGCAGGUCCAUGAAACGAUAAUACACAUAAAGAUCACACUGCCAUCCGUGUAUCUCAUCUUAUGGGCCAUAUGGGUUUAUUAUGGACAUUCAACAUUGUUAUUGAUCAGUUUACUGUCUUUUAAUUCACAGACUGGGUCGACAGCACACACUCCUAAUUACUUACUUAACAAAUUUUUUUGUGUCUGAAUAUUUCCCAGCAGAUCUGCAGAGGCUUCAAAGAGUCUGUUUGUGUUCAAAAUGUUUCAUGGCACUUUCCGAGCCGUCUGUCACAUAAAACCAGCCGUUGUUUUUCAUGCUAGAUGUAAGAAUUUAUGCUGAUGAGUAAUCUCACAACACGAGAAACAGAGAGAGAGACGGAGAGGAAGAGAUAGAACCAGGGAGGGAGAGCCAGACAUGAUGGAGGUCUGGGCAGGAAGAUAAAGGGGCAAGCCUUCACUCGCUUCCUCUGCCCAGCGCUCCCCCACUCUCCCCAUCGACAACUUUCAUCCAACCCUCACCAAAGACAAUUUUUCAAAGCGCAGGAAAAGUAGGCCAUCAAGUUUGGAGAGAGAAAUUGGGAGAGGGAAAAGUGAGAGAGAAAAUGAAGUGACUCAAAUAAAGUGAUGCUAAGCUUUAACCCACAUGAGGUGAAGCUCAGAAAAAAAGGGUGUCUGUCAAAGUCACACUUAAACAGAUCAGAGUGGUGAUUCGUCCAAACAGACUUUUUUCUGUUAUUCAAAUUAAAAAAAAUCCUAAACUUGUCCAAAAUUAAAUAUUCAGGCAGAGAAAAGAAACAUUUUUUGGGUGCCUAUGGUUGUUCAAAGUCUUAAUCUGGUAACUAGAGUCUCUUUAUGUUAAGAUACAAGGUUUUUUUUAACAUCAUUACUGAUUUUAACCUUUUUUCAAUAAUAUUUUUGCAGCUUUUACAUUUUUAGACCAAAACCAAUACUGGAUGGUCCUGAUCUUAGGCCCACAGGCAUUAAAAUUAAAAAUAGACAGGACUCUGUAGUGGAAAUCACCGCAUGGGCUCCAAAUCCCUUCCAAAAACCAUUGUAUACUAUUGUAUACCAUCUGACCUUCUUUUUUGAAACCAUGGAAGCUUCAGCCUACCCUCUGAAGAGUAGGGGGUCCACCUGGCUUGUUAUCAGCCCCUGGUUUUAAGCCAGAAUUCAUGGUGGUCCACAUCUGUGAAGACCCCAUUAAUGCAGAACAAUAUCUACAGGUUUAGGAGUAACAUCUGCUGCAAUCCAGACAAAGGCUUUUUCAGGGAAGACCUUCAUAUUUUAGCAAGACUAUGAUGAACCACAUUCUGCAGCAUCAGCAUGGCUCUGUAGUAGAAGAGUCCUGCUGCUAAACUGAUCUGCCUGUAGUCCUGACCUGUCACCCAUUGAAAACAUUUGGAGCAUAAUGACACCAAAAACAGAUCAAAGAAGACCCUAAACUGCUGAACAGCUGAAAUCCUCUAUCAGGCAAGAAUGGGACAGUAUUUCACUUCAAGUCCAGAAAUGGGUCUUCUGGUUCAACAACGUCCAUUGAAACAUCUAUUUAAAAUGUUCAAAUUGAAUUACAGGCUUAAACAAUGAGUAAGGUAUGAAGUUCUGCUUUCAACGUAAUUUUCAGUGUCCAGCUUUUGUUUGAAAAUCAGCUUGUGGUUUUUCUACUGUAUUCUUCAUCGCUAUAACAGGCCUUUGGCACUUUUGAGUCUGUCGGGAUAGCCUUGACCUCCUGGAUUCAUUUUGAGCGUCUCUAAGUCUGUUGAACCUUUCUUCAUGUGGUUGCCCUGGUUAACCUAUUCUGCCGAUGUCAAAAGAUUAUUGACUGAAUCCUCCACUUAUGAUCAAUGUUCAGUUUCAAGGUUUUGAAAGCCUGUCAGUGAUGUGAAGUGGGGAAAGAUGUAUGAAAGGAUGGGGGAAAGAAAGAUGGAGAAGGCGAUUAGAGUGUUGCUUAAAGAGGGGGGGGCUGCUGGCAAAGUAAGUCUCUUAUCUUUCCAAGCAGAAACACAGAGAUUUGGCAGCAUGAGAUGUCUGUGAUGGAGGGAGGAGAUAAAAAAAAGACAAGAGAGCUAGAAUGAACAAAUGAACAAAAUCAUGACAUCUGCUCUUAAUAAAUCACCUUAUAUGGGCAUAAAAGUGACACCCCUCUCUGUUGCUGGUAAUUUUUGUCUCUUAUCAAAUCUUCUGGUCAGAUUUAAGGUCAAAAAAGCAUGUUGACCUAUUCAAUUAGCCACCAUUAUGAAGAAAGAAAUGGUGAACUCCUCGACAAUGACUUUACAGCAUUACAACAUAGAGGGAGGGCUCUGAAAAUAUGGGUUCCAGAAAGCUUUAUUCUGGAAUGCUAGUUUCUGGAAUAUGAAGGACAAAAGGAGACAGAAUGAAAUAUGAAUGAAAAAAACACACGGCUGGAUUUUGAAAUUAUUUACCGAUCGAGGUUUAAGGCGGCAGACACCCUCUCAACUUUUAAGAGUAGACUCAAAACUUGUCCCCUGUCUCUUCUCUCUCUCUCUCUCUCUGCCUCUUUCCCUGCUGCCCACUCCCUCACUUCCUCUGUCCCUCUCUCUCUCCAUGUUUCCCCCCCAGCUCAGCAGCAGCAGGUAGCUGUGCAACAUGAGUCUGGUCCUGCUUAUGGUUUCUGCCUGUUACAGUGAAGUUUUUCCUUGCUAUCGUCACUUAUGUUAGGUAGGAUGGGUUCUUGGGUUCCAGAAUGCUGGGUUCUAGGAUGCUAUUUUUUUUUUUUUUUUUUGUAGGAUAGUAGGGGAAGGUCCUGCCCUCCUUCGCCUCUGAUUGACUAGAAGUACUGGGCUCCGAUUGGUUAUUCCUAAUGGCUGUGAAACUUUAUCGUUUCAAAGACUCUAAUCUGAGAUGAUGGGAGAGUUUUUUGAGCGUAAAUCACAUGAUGCAAAUAACAAUGCCAACAUGAGGAUAAGGUAAAGAAUGAAAUCUGUAAAGUUACAGUAAAAAUACAGCUUUAGCUUUUUAAAACCAAAUACUUCAUUUGAAAAUUCCUCCCUUUGCAACAUUGGAGUCUGCUAUCUUAUUUGAAUUGACACACAAUCAAUCUUCUGAAAGGUCAUCUCACUCUGGAUGGUCCAGAUUCUUCUUUUGUGUAAAUAUAUUCUCCUUUAACCUCAAAACAAGAUGGUGUUGCUUGAAAUGCAGAACUUCCAGUUUCAAAACUGUCUUACCUACAUCCAGUAUCUGACAGUUUAUAGUACAAACAUAUUUAAACUUUGACCUUUGACCCCUGAGAUUUGACUGUUUGCCUCUCUCACUCGACAAGGAAAAAAAAUUGAAUGAACCUUUCAGUUCUGCAUUUCUGGUGAUCUUCUCAAGUCAGCAGACUCCCACAUGACCUCAGGCGGCAGUGUUUGUGUCUGAGAGUGUGUGUGUGGGUAUGCCUGAGAGUGUGUGUGUGUGAGUGUCAUAUUUGUCGCCAUGUUUAUUUAUGGUACAGCUCUUGGCAGCUGUGAAAAACACCUGCGGGGUGAUUGUCACACUUCGGUUUCAGCUGAUGAUUAGGUGUGUGCUGAAUAUGUAAAAUGUGUGUGUGUGUGUGUGUGUGUGUGUGUGUGUAAGGGUAAAGAAAACGUCAUCUCCGGGCUCUGUACUAGCUGUUUGCGUGUAAAUAGGGGUGUUGCUGCGGGUCUGGAAGGGGAGGGUGACGGUUGUUUUCAGGGUGACACUCUUUAUCUGAUUGCCCUGCAGAAGCAUCAGCUACAUCUACAAGAGUCCAGGCCCCCACCCGCUGAUUGGCCGCCUGGCAAAAAAGGGUGGAGCAAACAGCUUGACUUUGACUUCAUUUUAUACAUGACGGACAGAUGCACAAAGUCUGAAAGUGUUCCUGUAGAUUUCUUUAUCCUGCAGCUUGAUACAAACAGCAACGUAUUCCUCACGAGUCAAACUUCAUCUACUAAAUGUUCUUGUUUUUGUCCCUUACAGGUUUACAUUGUUAUUGUAUUUAUAGGCUUUAUUCGCCUAUUAGAGGCAGAUGGGAAUGGUGAUUUGAUUCGCCACAGCUCCAGAAAUUAUUGAAAAACUACAGAAUGUUACGAAAUGAUGUAUCUGCGCUCCCUGCUUGACGGGUAGAAAUGUGCAUGAGCGCCCCCGGCUUAGAAGGUUGAAAUGCUUACAUGCUGUCCUGGUUUAAAUGGGUUAAAGGUAUGCUUCAGAGUGUACUUUCAUAAAUUAAAAAGAGGACUAGAAGUUCAUUACUAGCAAAAAAAUAGUAUACCAAGAAGUUUACUUUAAAGUAUGCUUCAAGUGUACUUUAAUACACUAAAUUAGGCCAAUUUAGUCCCAAGAAGUUUACUUGUAAGUACACUGGAAGUAUGUUUGUAUCAGUGUACAAAGUAUACUUUGGGAAGUAUUCUAAAAUGAACUUCAGAAUACUUAAUAAAAUAUACUUGAGGUAAACUUUUUUUUUUGUAAUGUAAUGUUUGUUUCAGUAAGAUAAUUGCUGCUUCAAUCACAGACUCUGAUAUAACACCAACCCUGACAGUUCCGGUCUGUUCCCAUUUCAAAGAUUACACUUUUGUUUUUAACGCUAAAGUUACCGUUGUCAGGUUGAGACUUGGGUUACACAGAGGAACAUAAAGACCAGAAAAUUCUCCAAAAUCAAACACUGAUAUCUUUAGUGAUUGAUAGGGAACCUGCUGCAUAAAUAAAUAUAAAAUAAUAAUGUAAAAUAAUAAUAAUAAUAAUUAGCAGGACGUUUGCAGCAGCGAUCCAGAGGAACCUACAGCAUGAUGGAGCUCAGGGACUCCCAGGAAAGACUGUGUAUUAGUGACUCUAAUGGGACAUGAUGAUUCAAAGUUAUUGACACAGACAGAAAGAGGAUGGAGAAGGAGGUAAAGGUGUUCAAUGUGCCAGUACCCCUGGUUGUCUAGGCCUAUAGCAGCAUAACUAAGUGCAGGUCCAGGCCUGAACCAUCUCUAACAACAAAUUUAAUCAUUGAGGAAAGUUUUAAGCUCACUCUUAAAGGUAGAGAGGGUGGCUGCGCCCCACACCUUGACUGGUAAAUGAUUCCAGAGGAGAGGGACCUGAUUCCUGAAAGUUCUACCAUCCAGACUACUUUUAGAUAAUACAAGGGAGGUGUGCUCUCUGUCUUUAGGUACCUUAGCUUCUGUUCCACCUGCUGCAUCACCUCCCUCAACUGCAGAGUCAGGAAUUGGGUUUUACAUUUGUGGAUUAUGUUUAUUUUCAGGUCCUGGAGAGUCUCUGCCAGCUUCAGUGUUAAAUAACCCUGGACACCGAGAGGACAAACGGAUAAACCCACAGUUCAACCUGCUGAGCUGUCUGACACUCAACUCCUGAUCGGGCACAGCGGGAUGUUUCCAGGAAUCACACACACACACAUACACACACACACACACACACACACACACACACACAAAGACCUGUGCGUGCGUGUGGGGAGCUGCAGUUCCGACUGAUGGCUGAGAGCAGCAGUUUUCAUGGUAUCAGAUUAGAAUAAAGGAUUAGACGUUCAAGGGGAAAUCCUGGUCUGAUCCUCCUCCACCGUCAGAUCUCCAAGACCGUCCAGGAAACUGCAAACUGAUGAUUAUGUGUCUCCACAUCUCGGUGCUCGGUAUGUUAGGUUAUUAAUGAUAAUCAGACUCAUGAAAGUGAAUAAAAGAGACCCUCACUCAUCUAUUAAAACAGGAUCAAAAUCUGGCGCGACUUUUAACGAGUCUGAGCUUAAGAGCAUGACUGAAUAAUGUUACUGUGACAGCAGCCCACACUUUGACAUAGGGAAGAUGAACCUAACUAAAACAUAAACUAAUGACAUGAUAACCAGUAGCUUCCCCUCCAAAUGUUGGCUCGGUAUUUGCUAUGAAAAUUGUUAUGGCUUUUCUAAUCCAAAUCUGAUUUUUUGUAAAUCCAACAACCUCUCCAGACUAAUUGUUUUACACAAUUGUCUUUCAUCAAAGUGCUGCCUAGCAAAACAAAGUCACACAUAAUGAUAUUUGGUACCAAAAAGAAACUCAUAUCCAAUCCUGCAGCUGUUACGAGUAUCAAUGGCACUCCCCUCAUAAAUUUAAAAAUUUCAAAUAGAAUGAAAAAAAAUUAGGACGAGCGCCUGGUGAUUAGAAUCAUCUGCCUCUAUAUAUUAGAUCAAUUUAAUCCCCAGGAACUCUAAGAGUCUGUCGUCUUACCUGGAGUUGAACUGCUCUUGUAAUCAAUGAUGCCGCCACUGUGUCUAUCUGUGUAACUGAAUGUAUAUUGAGCCCCUCUCAGUCCUGUCCACUGAUUUAACUGUCCACCUUGACCAUCAUGUCUUUGUAAUAUUAUUGUUUUAUUGUGCUUGGUCUUUUUUCCCUCUUUGUGUCUGUGUCUGUAUAAUGUCUUUAAAUCAUAUUAUUCUUGAUGAUUUAUUUCUAAACUGCAGAGAAAGUGCUGAAAUGAGAAAAAAAAAAGAAGAAAACCGAACUCCACUUAUUUAAAGUUACUGAUUAUGAAUGACCUUUGACCUUCAAAUAUCCUGUUAUAUCCAGACAUCACACUUGAUAAAUCUGAAGUUCGUCUCUUAGCGACAGGCGGCCAAACAUCUCUGCUUAGUCAAUGUGUUGGUGUCGUCCCUGCUCCUGAUUGGGUUUCCAUCCUUGGCAUUCCCUGGCGCUGUCCCCCGGGUCAUUGUAGUGUCACGUUGAGCCAUCCUUCAGCGACACCUGAUCCUCGCCAUUAAUCAUUGCCCUUUGCCAUCCACUUCUCCUGAUAUCGUUUGUGCUAAACUGAGCGGCGAGGAAACCUGAGCCGAGAACGUGUUGUGUAGCAGCAGAGGGUUGGAGCAGCUCUGACCACCCCAGUCUAAGUAUAACUGACUCACAGGCAGGUUUACAUGAGCACAGGUCAGGUUUCUCUGGUUUUCAGUGACAGUCGUUACUGAGGAUGUAUGUGCAUAGUUUAACCCAAUGUGCAAGACAGAGAGAGCAGGUCCAUAAAAAAACAGAACUGCUUAAAGAUAAAGUAAAAAAUUUACAUGUAAGUUUAAAAAACUUAAAUUCAUUGGCAAUGGUUGAAAUUUUGUGAAAUCAAAGUCCCAUUCUUGAGGAGAAAAAAGUGAAAAUUACUGAUUUGAAAGAAAGUUCAUUCAGAAAAACAUUAAAAUUUCCCGUCCAGAAAAAAGUUGAAAUUUAGGACAAAAGAUUUGAAAUUCUUGGAGUUAAAAAAGUUGAACUCAAUCAGAAAAGAGUCAAAUUCAUGAACAAGAUAAAAGGGUGACCUUUUUUAAGGGAAUGUAAAAAAUUGCUGUCAAUAGAUGUUAAAUCCCAAUGUCAAUAAAACUUAUUAAUGAAAGAAAUGAUUGAAUCCUUUUUUGAAACAAAAGUUAAAUUUCAUCUAUAAAAAUUCAAAGAAUUUGAAAUUCAAAAGCAUUACAAAUUUGACAAAAAGUUGUAAUUUAGAAUGUUUUAAUUUUACUACUGUGAAUAAAGUUAAAAAUAUUAUUCAGAAGAAAAGGUUUAAAUUAUUCAGCCAGUAAAAAGAAAUAAAACUCAUGGACAAGAAAAAAAUGUUCCGAUUUAUUGAGAAAUUUGUCAAAAUUCACCCCUGAGAAAAAAAGUUGAAAGUUACUAAUAAUUCAAAAAAUUGGAAUACAUUAAAAAAACGGACAAAAUUCUCUGUUAAAAGAGGUUAAAUCUAUUGAUGACAAAAACAGUUUAACUGAUAAUAAACACACAACACCGCGUAAGGUGGGGACCCAGAAGCUGACUUGUACACAGGAGCAGGUAAGUUUAAAAACUUAAACAGACAUAUCAACAUAAAUCUCCCUGUAAAUAAUUUCUUUUACAAAGCUGAAAGAUCUGAAAACUGUGAGAAUCAAUAAACAAAGAUUCUGUGCAUCAUAACACAGGUACGCCACACACAGGUGUGGUGUUACUGGGGCCUCUGAGAGAGGCAGGAACAUACACUGGAGGUUGGUUGACAUGCAAAUAACAAAAAGAUGAAACAUACAUGCUGAAAAUAACUCUCAUCCUCUGAGAAAUGUCUGCUGAUGCUCUGUUGGAUCAGCAUCGUCACAGGAGCCCAAAGGUUGAAGGUAUAAAGUUCUCAUGAUGACCACAGUGAACACAGCACCUCCUUCUUCUCCUCCUCCACUGCAGUUUAAACAAAGUCACAGCUUCUCUUUGCUUCUUUCAUGUUUUAUUGUACAUGUAUGCUCAUUUAUUCAUUGAUAUGUGUUUACUCUUUCAGCAGCCGAGCUUUAAAAUGGGGACAAAUUGAGGCUGAGGGCGUUUGACACAGGCCUGGUUUAAAAAAGCAGAGAUAAAUUAGCUUCUUCUUUAUGAUUUUAAAGUAGGGCAGAGCGCCAAAUAAGUAAACAACCUGUGUUUACUGCAGGAAGUCUGGAAAACAUUUUAGGUGAGGAUAAAAAAAAAUUGGCACCAGAGAAUCCACCACAGGACGAGACUUCAUUUCACAUUUUUCUCUCUAUUUUUCAUAUAUUUCAACCCCAACACCAACUUCUGUUUCAGGGGACUCUUAUGUUUUUCAUUUUCUAUACCAAAGGCUGUUUGUAAUUCCUUUUUAAGACUUAAAGGGAUAUUCCGGUGUAAAUUUAAGUUAUGGUCAAACACACCAUAACACCGAGUUAGACACCCCCUUGAGAGAUGAAUGUUGCCUACUGCUUGCUUCCCUAGUUAUACCAACCUCAGCAACGACCAGCAAUACACAGUGGUCUACGUCUCCACGUGCAAAUCUUAACAAAAAAGCCACUUGUAGCCACAAAUAAUGUUCGGAACAGCACCUAACUUCAUCAACAGUACAUAGAGGGUCCCAGCCAUUGCACUAGCCACCAAACAUCUUUUUAGCUUUGCCUGGAUUCUAAACACAACUCACUCACUCUCCCUAGCAGCCGCUUGUUUGUGGGGGAGCCCUAAUGCAUCCAUCACGGUGUGCAGCAGAGUUUCGCAGCUCAAGGAAGAACAUUUAUGAUCAUUUCUUCAUGGAAAUGCAAUCAGAACAAGACGCUAAGGCAGAAGAACUACUGCGUCUGCAGUGCAAAAUGAUUAUUAUGAUGAUUAUUACUUCAUGGAAAUGAUCCACUGCACUCAGUGAUGGACUCGUCAGGGCUCCCUCGCUAACAAGCAGCUGCUGUAAGAGAGUAGGUGAGUUGUGUUUAGUCUCUUUGCUAAAGAAAUAAGGCAAAACUAAAAAGAUGUUUGGUGGCUAUUGCUGUGGCUGGGACCCUAUAUGUACUGUUGAUGAAGUUAGGUGCUGUUCUGAACAUUAUUUGUGGCUACAAGUGGCUUUUUGGUUGAGGUUUGUGCGUGGAGACAUAGACCACUGUGUAUUACUAUCGUGCCACCAUUGCUGAAGUUGGUAUAACUAGGGCAGCAAGCAGUCGGCAACAUUCUUCUCUCGUGGGGGUGUCUAACUUAGUGUUACAGUGUGUUUGACCAUAAUUUAAAUUUAUGCAGGAAUAUCUUUAACAGCCAUCGGAUGGUGAAAAAUAUCAUUCACCGUUUGUGGACAGUGUUGACUCAUCUGAAGGAUAAAUGGACUGAAAGACAUAUGAAGACAUUUUUUAAAGCAGGGACAUUGUUUUUACAGACAAGGAUCCAUUUUAAAACUGACGAUGGUUCAGGCAUAAGAGGGUGUUUCUGAAAAAGGGAGGGAUGGAGGAUGAUUGUGGCUUCAGUCUUUUUUAAACAUUUGUACACAGUCACCUUUUUGGCAGGUAGAGAACAUGGACGAUCUCAGUACCACCCUUUCAGUUUGACAAAUUAAACAUGGCUCUAGUCCAGGUAGGCCACAAAGUCAGUUUCAUAUCACAGUACAUCAGCUGAUCCUUGUCACUGAUUCUGCUCUGUCCUGAACCCUGGCGGUCUUUGCUACUGCUCUCCCAGCCUCAGGCUCUGGAAUUCCUUAUACGCAGGUAGACUGCCAAACAGACAAAUAAGUACUCCUCUGUAUAUGUCAUGAAUUAAGCAUUUAUUUGGACUUCAUUUAAAGCAUUUUUCCUUCUGUUAUAUGGGAACAGUAAAGCGUUAAAAAUAAAACUGAGACUCCCCGCAAAAAGAUGAAUGGGCUCCCUGUUUUGGACAAUGUUUAUUUUAGUAUCACUUUUCUGUGCACAAGAUAUUUGCUGAAACUUAAAGAUGUGCUCAAGUGAAAUUACACACCACUCCUUUAGAACUGGGUUCAUGCUCGGGACGAAAAUGUCAGAGAGGGUUCUCACUCUGGCACACAAGAAGAAAUGUGUGUGUGCGUGCGUGUGUUAGUAAAGGGUAAAGGGGUUCUUAUGUUUCACUGGGUCAGGGUUCAGAUGUUUAAAUAUAACUUCCUGUAUCCAAAAAAAGCUGCUUGGAUAUAGUUGAAGCAGGUGGGGGUUAACACAAGCAGGUGUUUGGGACAUAGAUGAAGCUAGUCUAUACGCUGCUGCUGUGUCUUUGGAUAAGAAUAACCAACAAGUCUACCCAGCAACCCCCUGUGCCCCCUAGAGAGCAGGGUGACAGGGUUUGUGUAGUGACUCUAUAUUUAACCCCCUCUGGUCUAAAAAAGAGAGUCCAUUUGUCCUGAUGUCACAUUUAAUGAAGACCACUGUGUCCUGACCAGAGGCUACAAAAGACACGACUGGAGUUCCUGAAGACGUCCUACUAUGAUGGUCCCCAUAUCAGAAAUGCUGACUCCAACCAGGGGUUUAUAAAUAAGAAAGAGGUGACAACGUACCUGCCUGGAGGUCAUACCGGCCUUGACCCAAAUGAAACAUAACUUUUAACCUCAAUUUCUUAAAAACAGAUGAGUUGUAAUGUAAGAGAACCCUUGCACAGUUUGACAAA
Molecule: non-coding RNA, 39340 nt
Organism: Xyrichtys novacula (pearly razorfish)
Lineage: Eukaryota; Metazoa; Chordata; Actinopteri; Labriformes; Labridae
Source: the annotation of a GenBank genome assembly